CCCUGGCUUGGUCAAAAUUGACUCUCUGUUGGUCAAAAUUGACUCUCUGUCUGAAAGGAGGAAUAGACACUGUGGCCUUGUUAAAUCCAACAGGCUGCCUAUUAGUGUACAUUAAAAGAGACAAAGUCUAGAUUAAAAUGAGAAGAAGACUGGACUUGUCUUUGUUUCUCAUUAUUGAGGACCAUAUUAUAGACAUUGUCAAGAGAAGGAGGAGGCUGCAUCAUCAAAAGAUUACU
This 236-nucleotide long non-coding RNA is filed under the name Nicotiana benthamiana. RNAcentral's name for it is "long non-coding RNA (NBEN_LNC001022)". The record is from RNAcentral. Lineage: Eukaryota; Viridiplantae; Streptophyta; Magnoliopsida; Solanales; Solanaceae.